GAGGGUGUAGCUCAGUGGUAGAGCACAUGCUUAGCGUGCACGAGGUCCUGGGUUCAAUUCCCGGUACCUCA
This 71-nucleotide transfer RNA is filed under the name Camelus bactrianus (Bactrian camel). It matches the Rfam family "tRNA". Rfam says of the family: Transfer RNA (tRNA) molecules are approximately 80 nucleotides in length. Their secondary structure includes four short double-helical elements and three loops (D, anti-codon, and T loops). The record is from Rfam by way of RNAcentral. Lineage: Eukaryota; Metazoa; Chordata; Mammalia; Artiodactyla; Camelidae. RNAcentral also lists the same sequence under 2 other names.